Molecule: RNase P RNA, 386 nt
Filed under: Bacteroides sp.
Lineage: Bacteria; Pseudomonadati; Bacteroidota; Bacteroidia; Bacteroidales; Bacteroidaceae
Description: RNase P RNA component class A
Rfam family: Bacterial RNase P class A
About the family: Ribonuclease P (RNase P) is a ubiquitous endoribonuclease, found in archaea, bacteria and eukarya as well as chloroplasts and mitochondria. Its best characterised activity is the generation of mature 5'-ends of tRNAs by cleaving the 5'-leader elements of precursor-tRNAs. Cellular RNase Ps are ribonucleoproteins.
Source: RNAcentral
GCAGAAGUGAGGUCUGUCGCUUCAUGCCGGGAGCAUGAAGAGGAAAGUCCGGGCAACACAGAGCACCAUAUUUGUUAACGGCAAGCCGGCGGNGACGUCGGGGACAAUGUGACAGAAAACUACCGCCACCCGNCUCCAUUGGAGCCGGGCGGUAAGGGUGAAAAGGCGGGGUAAGAGCCCACCGGNUGCCGUGGCGACACGGUAUGCCGCACAUCCUAUGGGUUGCAAGGCCAAAUACACCGGCAGCAAAGGAUUGCUCGUCCAUUGCCGGGGGGUAGGCUGCUCGGCGCAUGCGCCGGAGCCGUCUGGCAACAGACGGCCGAGAUAAAUGACAGACGGAUAUCUCCGGAUAUCUACAUAACCCGGCUUAUAUCUCUUCUGCACUU